RNAcentral lists this ribosomal RNA (318 nucleotides) under Triticum aestivum (bread wheat). Its description in RNAcentral is "partial small subunit ribosomal RNA". The record is from RNAcentral. Lineage: Eukaryota; Viridiplantae; Streptophyta; Magnoliopsida; Poales; Poaceae.
AUGCUGAUCACCAUCGUUGUGUGCCUUACUCUAACACAGGAGCUUGGUCGGUACUCCGUGGAGGAGCACAACCGGCGCCGGGGGGAGGGCUGCGAGGACGGCGGCGUCUGCGGCCGGCUGGAGUUCGCCCGCGUGGUGUCGGCGCAGCGCCAGGUGGUGUCCGGGGUCAAGUACUACCUCCGCGUCGCGGCCGCCGAGGAGAACGGCGCGGGGACGAACGGCGUCAGUGACGGCCGCGUGUUCGACGCCGUGGUGGUCGUCAAGCCCUGGCUCCAGUCCCGCGCGCUGGUCAGGUUCGCGCCGGCCGAUGCCAAAUGA